Molecule: ribosomal RNA, 364 nt
Filed under: uncultured archaeon
Lineage: Archaea
Description: bacterial SSU rRNA
Rfam family: Archaeal small subunit ribosomal RNA
Source: RNAcentral
CCCGAGGCGCACUGCUCAGUAACACGUGGAGAAUCUGCCCUUAGGUGAGGAAUAACCUUGGGAAACUGAGAAUAAUACCUCAUAGGUUAUGGAUGCUGGAAUGCUUCAUAGCCCAAAGCCCCGGCGCCUAAGGAUGACUCUGCGGACUAUCAGGUAGUAGUCAGGGUAACGACCUGACUAGCCUACGACGGAUACGGGGUGUGAGAGCACUACCCCGGAGAUGGAUUCUGAGACACGAAUCCAGGCCCUACGGGGUGCAGCAGGCGCGAAACUUCCGCAAUGCUCGCCAGAGUGACGGAGGGAUUCCAAGUGCCUAUGCUAUGCGUAGGCUGUUUUCAUGUCUAAAUAACAUGGAGAGUAAGAG